CCUUCGAUAGCUCAGUUGGUAGAGCGGUGGACUGUAGAAAGAUUCUGAAUAAAGAGUGCAGAUAUCCAUAGGUCGCUGGUUCAAAUCCGGCUCGAAGGA
RNAcentral lists this transfer RNA (99 nucleotides) under Lucilia cuprina (Australian sheep blowfly). Its description in RNAcentral is "tRNA-Tyr for anticodon GUA". It matches the Rfam family "tRNA". Rfam says of the family: Transfer RNA (tRNA) molecules are approximately 80 nucleotides in length. Their secondary structure includes four short double-helical elements and three loops (D, anti-codon, and T loops). Further hydrogen bonds mediate the characteristic L-shaped molecular structure. tRNAs have two regions of fundamental functional importance: the anti-codon, which is responsible for specific mRNA codon recognition, and the 3' end, to which the tRNAs corresponding amino acid is attached (by aminoacyl-tRNA synthetases). tRNAs cope with the degeneracy of the genetic code in two manners: having more than one tRNA (with a specific anti-codon) for a particular amino acid; and 'wobble' base-pairing, i.e. permitting non-standard base-pairing at the 3rd anti-codon position. Lineage: Eukaryota; Metazoa; Arthropoda; Insecta; Diptera; Calliphoridae. The record is from Rfam by way of RNAcentral.